GCUAGGAUAGCUCAGUCAGUAGAGCCUAAGCCUCUUAAUUUCAGGGUCGUGGGUUUGAGCCCCACGUUGGGCA
Non-coding RNA from Podarcis lilfordi (Lilford's wall lizard), 73 nucleotides. The record is from the annotation of a GenBank genome assembly. Lineage: Eukaryota; Metazoa; Chordata; Lepidosauria; Squamata; Lacertidae.